CCUCUUAUUUUGUUGCACCGAAACUGACCCCCCCUCCCUCUCUAAACUCAAAAUGGAGAACGACGACAAAUACCUCCCUGAGCUGCUGGCGGAAAAGGACAGUCUGGACUUGUCGUUCACGCACGCCAUGAAACUUUUGAACGCAGAAAUUGAUAGAAUCCAGAAAGGCGAGACUAAAAAGGAGGCAGAAGCAUACCUGGACCUUUUCACAACAAAGAACAUCAAACUUAAGGAGCGGGUGCUCAUACCUGUCAAACAGUACCCGAAGUUCAAUUUUGUGGGGAAGAUUUUGGGACCUCAGGGUAACACAAUCAAACGGCUACAAGAAGAGACCGGAGCCAAGAUCUCUGUGCUGGGCAAAGGAUCCAUGAGAGACAAAACCAAGGAGGAGGGGUUGAGGAAAGGCGGCGAGCCCAAGUACGCCCACUUGUCCAUGGACCUGCAUGUAUUCAUUGAGGUGUUUGCCCCCGUUCCCGAGGCUUACCUGCGCAUGGCACACGCCAUGGAGGAAGUCAAGAAGUUCCUGUUUCCCGAUAUGAUGGAUGACAUCUGCCAAGAGCAGUUCAUGGAGAUGAGCUACCUGAACGGAGGCCAGGAGCACGGAGCCCGAGGUCGCGGGGGCAUGCCGGGCAGGGGCCGUGGAAUCCCUCCUGCUGGAGCGCACAGGGGAAGAGGAAUGCCUCCUCGUGGAGGUGCUGUGAGGGGAGGCGUGACCCGAGGUGGCCCAGCCAGAGGCGGCCCAGUGAGGGGUGGCCCGGGAGGUCGAGGAGGGCCCCCUGCAGCACCUGCCAGAGGAGCUGUGGCACCGCGUGCCAGGCCUCCAGCUGCCGGACCUCCCCAGAGGAUGGCGCCCCCACCACACCAGCACUCCUCCACUGCAGCCUCUGAGAACUACGAUGAAUAUGGCUACGACGAGAGCUACACAGACACGUCCUACGAGUCGUACGACAACUAUUACAGUCAGCCGCAGGCAGAGCCAGAAUACUAUGACUAUGGACACGGAGAGACCACAGACUCGUACGAGUCGUAUGGCCAGGACGACUGGAAUGGGACCCAGCAACUAGGUCCAGGAAAAGCCCCUCCCACCUCCAGAGGGGCCAAGACGACUUACCGGGAUCACCCAUACCGACAGUACUGAAGCGGACUCGCCACCCUUAACGUGUCGCCCUGACUACCGCCUGUCUACCAUGGCAGCUCUUGCUUUAAGCAGCCCGACAAAAGCACAGCUAUCGGUCACUGAGUGCCCAGAGACUGACAGUCUGCCCGAGUGAGACCAUACAAAUACACCUCAGUGAGGACAUGCACGGGAACAGCUCACAACACGGAGGUGGUCGGAACGACUCUCUCGGGGCACUCUUUGGAAAAAGUAGUGGCCCGAUGCCCAUUUCUGUGCUUGGCGGGGCGGCGGGGGGGGGGGCGGGGAGCCAGGGUUGUGGUGGCCGUCUGCCAGUUGACCCACAGAGGGCGGCUGAUUUAGUGAGAGGAGGAAGAGGAGGAGGCUGCAGCCGGUCAGCGAAGACGUUCAGAACGACCAUAGACUGAAAAACAGCUCUGCUUUUUUGUUGUUGUUUUUUUUGUACGAUGACUACGUAUCAUGUUGAUAUUGAAUUACUGUGCGUUAUCAUUGUGCAAUUAUUUUUCUAACAUUGAAUACACACAGUUUCCACAGAUCACAAAUGUAAUUGUUACAGCCUAACUCGCCAUAAAAUGAGCACUCCUGUUAUAGUAAGCUGUGAAAUUGUUUUUAAUUUCCAGUAACUCGGUGAACUGUGAAACACAACUGUUCAGAGUGAGGCGAGCUGCGUUCAGGAAGACUAAGUAUUCAAGUCUGAGUGCCUUAUUGCCGCGAGCGCCGAUCACUAUCUGGCGAUGGGCGAGUCGACCGCGGCCACAUCUUGGCACCGCGCGGCCCCCGAGGAUAUCACAUGCUAAUGCGCUGAUGGCAACACAUUUGCAUGUACUCGCAUGUUCCCGCCAAACACGCGGUGUUUGAGAGUGUGAGAGAGGGACAGAGGGUGAAGACUGACAUUACCAAACUUGCCCUCCCAUCUACUGUGUUGAUUUGAUUCUCCGCCGAGUUACAUUUAGAGGUCGAAACUCCACUUUUUGUGUGUGGAGAACAAAUGUCUCUGCUCAGAGGCAACAUUAGCCAAGGCAGCGGCUUCAUUUCGCUUAUUGGAAAAGCUGCCAGCUUACAGCACAGAACAUUACAUAUUAGGGAAUGGGCCAUAACCAAAACAAUUCAUUUUUUUAUCUGCUUUUAUGUCUGAAAAUAAUGAUUUUCUUUGUCUCUGGUAAUUUAAUGAAAGACAAAUGAUGGUAUGGAAUCUGUCUCCUUUUGUUUCAAUUGAUGAACUGUCAAGUGGCGCCACACGAGGUGGAAGAGAGAGAAAAUGUUACCCUGCAAUGAUCAAUAAAAGCAAAGUGUUGAAUCCGA
Solea senegalensis (Senegalese sole) is the source of this 2437-nucleotide RNA transcript. It is a transcript of the gene named KH domain containing, RNA binding, signal transduction associated 1b, with no coding region annotated. NCBI's taxonomy places the organism in Eukaryota, Metazoa, Chordata, Actinopteri, Pleuronectiformes, Soleidae. The transcript is spliced from 11 exons. The record is from RefSeq and is a predicted model, not a curated record.